AAGCACUUUGACGGGGGAUAAUUGGAAGAAGUGCUCUGAUUGAGAGCAAAUGUGUGGAGCACAAAUACAUGCGCAUACAUCUUCAUGCUCCACCAACUUUUCAACCUUUUUUGAGGAAAGAAGAAAACGUCGUCGCUACAC
Molecule: non-coding RNA, 141 nt
Organism: Caenorhabditis elegans
Lineage: Eukaryota; Metazoa; Nematoda; Chromadorea; Rhabditida; Rhabditidae
Source: Ensembl